This 230-nucleotide ribosomal RNA is filed under the name uncultured bacterium. RNAcentral's name for it is "partial 16S ribosomal RNA". It matches the Rfam family "Bacterial small subunit ribosomal RNA", at positions 1268 to 1500 of the family's 1533-position model. The record is from RNAcentral.
CCAAAAACUAAACGUACUCAGUUCGGACUGUGGUCUGCAACCCGACCACACGAAGCUGGAAUCGCUAGUAAUCGUGAAUCAGAAUGUCACGGUGAAUACGUUCCCGGGUCUUGUACACACCGCCCGUCACACCAUGGGAGUCAGCAACGCCCGAAGUCAGUGACCUAACCGAGAGGGAGGAGCUGCCGAAGGCGGGGCCGGUAACUGGGGUGAAGUCGUAACAAGGUAUC